CUACGUGCCAGCAGCCGCGGUAAUACGUAGGGUGCAAGCGUUAUCCGGAAUUAUUGGGCGUAAAGGGCUCGUAGGCGGUUCGUCGCGUCCGGUGUGAAAGUCCAUCGCUUAACGGUGGAUCCGCGCCGGGUACGGGCGGGCUUGAGUGCGGUAGGGGAGACUGGAAUUCCCGGUGUAACGGUGGAAUGUGUAGAUAUCGGGAAGAACACCAAUGGCGAAGGCAGGUCUCUGGGCCGUCACUGACGCUGAGGAGCGAAAGCGUGGGGAGCAAACAGGAUUAGAUACCCUGGUAGUCCACGCCGUAAACGGUGGAUGCUGGAUGUGGGGACCAUUCCACGGUCUCCGUGUCGGAGCCAACGCGUUAAGCAUCCCGCCUGGGGAGUACGGCCGCAAGGCUAAAACUCAAAGAAAUUGACGGGGGCCCGCACAAGCGGCGGAGCAUGCGGAUUAAUUCGAUGCAACGCGAAGAACCUUACCUGGGCUUGACAUGUUCCCGACGGUCGUAGAGAUGCGGCUUCCCUUCGGGGCGGGUUCACAGGUGGUGCAUGGUCGUCGUCAGCUCGUGUCGUGAGAUGUUGGGUUAAGUCCCGCAACGAGCGCAACCCUCGCCCUGUGUUGCCAGCACGUCGUGGUGGGAACUCACGGGGGACCGCCGGGGUCAACUCGGAGGAAGGUGGGGAUGACGUCAGAUCAUCAUGCCCCUUACGUCCAGGGCUUCACGCAUGCUACAAUGGCCGGUACAACGGGAUGCGACGCGGCGACGCGGAGCGGAUCCCUGAAAACCGGUCUCAGUUCGGAUCGCAGUCUGCAACUCGACUGCGUGAAGGCGGAGUCGCUAGUAAUCGCGAAUCAGCAACGUCGCGGUGAAUGCGUUCCCGGGCCUUGUACACACCGCCCGUCAAGUCAUGAAAGUGGGCAGCACCCGAAGCCGGUGGCCUAACCCCUUGUGGGAUGGAGCCGUCUAAGGUGAGGCUCGUGAUUGGGACUAAGUCGUAACAAGGUAGCCGUACCGGAAGGUGCGGCUG
This 1025-nucleotide ribosomal RNA is filed under the name human gut metagenome. Its description in RNAcentral is "bacterial SSU rRNA". It matches the Rfam family "Bacterial small subunit ribosomal RNA", at positions 501 to 1520 of the family's 1533-position model. The record is from RNAcentral.